This 378-nucleotide ribosomal RNA is filed under the name uncultured eukaryote. RNAcentral describes it as "partial 18S ribosomal RNA". It matches the Rfam family "Eukaryotic small subunit ribosomal RNA", at positions 592 to 976 of the family's 1831-position model. The record is from RNAcentral.
CAAUAGCGUAUAUUAAAGUUGUUGCGGUUAAAAAGCUCGUAGUUGGAUUUCUGUUGAGGAAGCCCGGUCCGCACUUUGUGCGUGAUCUGGUUCUGCCUCGGCAUCCUCGCGGGGAACAUGCUGCGCUUGAUUGCGUGGUGUGGUAUUCGCGACUUUUACUUUGAGGAAAUUAGAGUGUUCACGGCAGACAAUUGUCUUGAAUACGUUAGCAUGGAAUAAUAAUAUAGGACCUUGGUUCUAUUUUGUUGGUUUCUAGAACUAAGGUAAUGAUUUAUAGGGAUAAUUGGGGGCAUUUGUAUUAACACGUCAGAGGUGAAAUUCUUGGAUUGUGUUACGACAAACUACUGCGAAAGCAUUUGCCAAGGAUGUUUUCAUUGA